AUGUGCAUUUAAACUUUCAUAGUAAACAAAUAUACUUUUAAGUGAACAUUUCCCCAUGGUUAAAGUCAGUUAUUAAAAUAGUCCUUUCCCAAAAUUAAGGCAGCUUUAUGCUGUAAAAGCAUGAGUUCUUUGUCAAAAGAUACGUUCUUCCAUCUUCAUCUAUUGUUGCCAGCUGUCAGCAUUUUCUUAAAAGGUCAGGUUUUCUUCUUAGCCACACCUGUAUGUGGCUUGUUGGUUGUCCAGGUGUGGUUUGCAGCUUAAAUGUCUAACCCUGUCAACCAAGAGUUCCACUGUUGUUUCACAAGGCUGACCGUGCUGAGCUAGUCCUAGUGUUUCCUGCACAUCUCGGCAGAUCUUGAAGAGGCGACACUGAAACUUCUCGUCCCAGUCAUUCUUGCUUUUGUCACCGGUCACCAGUCUCGUAGCACCCAUCACGUUGGUCACAGCACUACAUUCAGCAGGAGGGUUUAUAACCGUAAUGUGGGAAAGGGACUUAUGCCAGCAGAGCCGUCCUCGCCCCCUCGAAUACAAGGUGGCAGUCAGAAUAACACAAGACUGGAAAAAUUUAAAAGAACAGAAAUUUAUUUGGCUAACAUUUCUGGAAGCUGGCACCUGCAUCUGGCAAGCGUCAUUCCAUGGCAGAAUGCAUCACAUGAGACAUUCAAGCUGUAGUGAUCAUUUACUGAGGAUCUGCUGAUAAGAAGGCAUAAGAGAAGAGAUCCCUAAUCACAAAAUGGGGCCAGCCAUGGUGGUACAUGCCUGUGUUCAU
Lemur catta (Ring-tailed lemur) is the source of this 769-nucleotide long non-coding RNA. RefSeq lists it as uncharacterized. The record is from RefSeq and is a predicted model, not a curated record. NCBI's taxonomy places the organism in Eukaryota, Metazoa, Chordata, Mammalia, Primates, Lemuridae. The transcript has 3 exons.